This is a transfer RNA of Ovis aries (sheep), 72 nucleotides long. It matches the Rfam family "tRNA". Rfam says of the family: Transfer RNA (tRNA) molecules are approximately 80 nucleotides in length. Their secondary structure includes four short double-helical elements and three loops (D, anti-codon, and T loops). The record is from Rfam. Lineage: Eukaryota; Metazoa; Chordata; Mammalia; Artiodactyla; Bovidae.
UCCCUGGCAGUCCAGUGGUUAAGACUGAGCGCUUUCACUGCUGGGACCCAGGUUCAAUCCCUGGUCAGAGAA